This 446-nucleotide long non-coding RNA is filed under the name Betta splendens (Siamese fighting fish). RNAcentral's name for it is "lncRNA (ENSBSLG00000018626.1)". Lineage: Eukaryota; Metazoa; Chordata; Actinopteri; Anabantiformes; Osphronemidae. The record is from RNAcentral.
AUGGCAAAAUCAGACGGGCCCCUUUUCAAAUCCACGUCUCCAAUGUCCCCCCCGCCACCCCUCCAACAGUCUGCAGUCACUGGGCGGCUGGUGAGGCAGGCGGAGAGAAAGAGAGAGAGAGGAGAGCAAGGGUUACAUCAAGGCUGCUCCCUGGACCGUGCAAACAAGUCUAGACCAGUGACCUGUUCAAUGGCUUCUUUUGAGGAGCGGGGCAAGUUCGGUCAGAGCGAGGAGAAAGGCAGGCACAGCCUCUUUUCACUGCCGAAGCAGCUCACAGCCCGCGAUCGACAGGAGAGUGGGGAACUAGAACUGACCUCAGCAAGGACCCCCCCAGACUGAUCUGUAUAAAGGGAGCCCUGGCAAUUGUCUCUUUCUCUGCAGUCACAGGUAAGAUGCAUCAGCAACACAAGAAUAAAACCAGGACUCUCCAACUCCGGUCCUGGACU